UCUCAGGUGGCUCAGUGGUAAAGAAUCCGCCUGCCAAGCAGAAGACCCGGGUUCAAUCUCUGGGUUGGGAA
RNAcentral lists this transfer RNA (71 nucleotides) under Bos taurus (domestic cattle). It matches the Rfam family "tRNA". From Rfam's summary of the family: Transfer RNA (tRNA) molecules are approximately 80 nucleotides in length. RNAcentral also lists the same sequence under 4 other names. Lineage: Eukaryota; Metazoa; Chordata; Mammalia; Artiodactyla; Bovidae. The record is from Rfam by way of RNAcentral.